AUUGAACGCUGGCGGCAGGCCUAACACAUGCAAGUCGAACGAGUGGCGGACGGGUGAGUAAUGUCUGGGAACCUGCCCGAUGGAGGGGGAUAACUACUGGAAACGGUAGCUAAUACCGCAUACAAUCAGAUGUGCCCAGAUGGGAUUAGCUUGUUGGUGGGGUAACGGCUCACCAAGGCGACGAUCCCUAGCUGGUCUGAGAGGAUGACGAGCCACACUGGGACUGAGACACGGUCCAGACUCCUACGGGAGGCAGCAGUGGGGAAUAUUGCACAAUGGGAGUAAGCCUGAUGCAGACAGGCCGCGUGUAUGAAGAAGGCCUUAGGGUUGUAAAGUACUUUCAGCGGGGAGGCGUUACCCGCAGAAGAAGCACCGGAUAACUCCGUGCCAGCCGCCGCGGUAAUUC
This 406-nucleotide ribosomal RNA is filed under the name uncultured bacterium. RNAcentral's name for it is "partial 16S ribosomal RNA". It matches the Rfam family "Bacterial small subunit ribosomal RNA", at positions 30 to 526 of the family's 1533-position model. The record is from RNAcentral.